Long non-coding RNA from Gadus morhua (Atlantic cod), 1628 nucleotides. The record is from Ensembl. NCBI's taxonomy places the organism in Eukaryota, Metazoa, Chordata, Actinopteri, Gadiformes, Gadidae.
CCCUCCGCCUCCAAACCCAGGAAACUGAUUUCCAUGUUAUUUUUCCUCGUCACCCCUCCCCUUCCUUCCUCACUCACAGCUGAGGGCUUUGUUACCUACUUUACCCAGAAGGUGAAGGACUUCAUCUCCUCUUUUACCCCUGCCACCAUCCUCCCUCCCCAUAUCCCUACAUGUUUUACCCACCUUGUCCCUCUCACCUCCGAAGAUGUCAACAGAGUAGUUUUGUCUGACCACGCCACCGCUGGACCCGAUCCCCUCCUCACUCCUCCAGGCUCCUGUGGCUGCUGAUGGUCAACAGAUGUGGUUAAUCAGUAAUCAAUGGAACUGGAGUGAACAAUCCUUUAAAAGAACCACCGUUACUUCUGAGAGGUAUUUAGUUUACAGGGCCUGGCAAUUGGUUUGUAGAGCAAAACCCAGCAACACCUGAAAAAAAACGACAUGCAUGUUCCUUGUUCAAUCUCUUUGAGGUCAACCUGGAUAUUGUGUCUGAUUGGGUGUAUAUUAUCGCUACCAGUAGAUAAAGGUUUUGGCUCAAACAAUCCUUCACCAGCAUGGAGUGACUUCAGCAGUCCUCGCUCUACUUAUCCUGUUGGUCAAGCCGGCUCGGUGUAUACUUAUGGCAGCACAACGCAAGAGUACAUUGGAAGAGCGGCUUCCACUUGGUCCCAGCAGAACAGUGACUCAAAGGCUGAUGACGGGGUCUACUCAAAUGAUGGCUCCAAUAUGGAUGCUGGCGACUCUGGCUGGGCCAAGAGCGGUGCGAUGGACUCUGGUAGUGAUGCUCAGUACCCUGUUCCUGAAGGCUACCCUGAGGAGCUUGUCGCCCCCAUGGACCAGGAGCUGGAGGAACCUGAGGAAGAGCCCGUGUUGAGCGACGUCUCUGACCUGGAGCCGGUCUACCACUUCAGUUCCGGGUCACGCUACCAGCAAGGCAGACAGGCCUUCUUCCUAACCAGAUACAACCCCGGAGAGCCUAUGGUCGCCUCUGCUGACGCGUUGGUCUCUAACAGUUAUGGAAUGGGAAAUGGUGAGGGAGGGCCAGCUGAUCCAAGACAGCCUGGGAAGGGUGACUACUGAUCAACUGCAAUGUCUUUCAUUUCUAAUGGCUGUAUAUGAAUAAAUCUUUGCUUUCGGAAUUAGUUUCCUUUGCUUUAAUACAGGUUGCCAAGUUUAGCAUUGCUAAGAUGUGCAUGAAGCACUGUGCUUUGGUGUCCAUUGAACAAACAUUAUCCUGGAUCCAACUCCUUGGGUAUUGCAAGUACCCAAGGAGAACCAACUUGACCUUAUAUUCACGAGGUCCUGCGGUAACUCUGCUCUCUCUGUAACCCCGUUCCCUGUGUCUGACCAUAAUUUUAACUGCUCUCUCCUCUAAAUCCUCUUCCUCCUUGGCUGUACAAAUCUCUGCAGGCUUAAACGCAACAAUAACAAUAGGUAUCCAUAAUCCAAUUACAUCCUGUGAACCUAAUUAAGAGGCAAGUUUGGAUGCUUGAACCCACACAGAACUAGAGACUCUUUGUUUAAAUGGAUUACCGCUAGGUGGCAGUAUAGAUCAAAUAAUUCCGGCCGCUGGUGCUCACUAUUGUUGUUGACGGAUUUCCCCUGUAAAGUGAGGAAACGAGUGCUCUGGG